GAACAUCGAAAAAGGAACGUGAAGGAGUAUAGCAAAUUUCUGCUACAACCAUUCUCCAUAUAACACCUGAAUUUCAGCUACAACCAUUCUCCAUAUAACACCUGAACCAAUUUACAACAUGUAUGGAUCUGAAACACCUGAACAUCAACAACACCUGAACAUCAACAACACCUGAACAUCAACAAUUUCCACAUAUCAAAUUAGAACACUGUGCUACAACAAUAUGUAUGCAUCGAGUUACACUCUGCUACAACAAUAUGUACGCAUCGGGGGCUGUGCGAGCCUUCGAGCCGCUCGACGUUCC
RNAcentral lists this long non-coding RNA (304 nucleotides) under Hordeum vulgare. Its description in RNAcentral is "long non-coding RNA (HVUL_LNC014150)". The record is from RNAcentral. Lineage: Eukaryota; Viridiplantae; Streptophyta; Magnoliopsida; Poales; Poaceae.